This 323-nucleotide ribosomal RNA is filed under the name uncultured bacterium. RNAcentral describes it as "bacterial SSU rRNA". It matches the Rfam family "Bacterial small subunit ribosomal RNA", at positions 28 to 334 of the family's 1533-position model. The record is from RNAcentral.
GAUGAACGCUGGCGGCGUGCCUAACACAUGCAAGUCGAACGAGGUAAAUAAGUUGAAGUUUUCGGAUGGAUUCUUAUUUACCGAGUGGCGGACGGGUGAGUAACGCGUGGGUAACCUGCCUCAUACAGGGGGAUAACGGUUAGAAAUGACUGCUAAUACCGCAUAAGCGCACAGUACCGCAUGGUACGGUGUGAAAAACUCCGGUGGUAUGAGAUGGACCCGCGUCUGAUUAGCUAGUUGGUGAGGUAACGGCCCACCAAGGCGACGAUCAGUAGCCGACCUGAGAGGGUGACCGGCCACAUUGGGACUGAGACACGGCCCAG